RNAcentral lists this long non-coding RNA (213 nucleotides) under Nicotiana benthamiana. RNAcentral's name for it is "long non-coding RNA (NBEN_LNC036482)". Lineage: Eukaryota; Viridiplantae; Streptophyta; Magnoliopsida; Solanales; Solanaceae. The record is from RNAcentral.
GUUUCCGAGGACAUGACCCUUGAUAGGGGAGUCUGGAGGUCUAGAAUCAGUGUUGUAGGCUAGGGGCUCAUAGAGUGCUUCGUACGCCUCUCCCGGGAUUGGGUGUGGGACUGCAGGGUUAUCCAUAGAUGAUUUGUGUUUUAGCUUAUGCCCCCCUUAUGGUUGUUAGUAUGGUAGUUACUGUUUGUUAUUAUUGCAUGCGAUUGUAUUUAU